This 98-nucleotide non-coding RNA is filed under the name unclassified sequences. RNAcentral's name for it is "PhotoRC-II RNA". It matches the Rfam family "PhotoRC-II RNA". The record is from RNAcentral.
UAACAAUUCAAUCUUGCUCCCGCUAACCGAGACCUAUGGGAGAAUAAAUUACGUCUCUAAUACCUUCACCUGAGGGUGGUGAAGGAAUAUUUAAUUCA